GCAAGUCUCCUUCUACAGGUCUCUCUUUGAGGACUGAGAAAGUAUUCGGGUUCACAUACGUUCAGUGAUACACACUUUGUAUUAAGGAAAAAAGCAGAUAUAAAAUGAGCUGGGUGGUGGAAGAAUGGAAAGAAGGCCUUUCCACAAGGGUCCUUCAGAAGAUUCAAGAGCUUGAAAGUCAACUAGACAAGCUUAAAAAAGAACAACAGCAAAGACAGUUUCAGCUUGAAUCACUGGAGGCAGCUUUGCAGAAGCAGAAGGUUGAAAAUGAAAAAAACGAAGGAGCAACACUAAAAAGAGAAAACCAGAGCUUGAUGGAAUUGUGUGAUAAUCUUGAGAAAACAAAGCAGAAAAUUUUGCAUGAUCUUCAAGUAAAAGAAUCACAAGCUAAUUAUCAAGCGGGACAACUAACUUCAAGCAAGAAACAAAUUGAAAGACUAGAACGGAAACUUAAAAGGAUAGUAUGCAUGCUUAACAGCCGGAGGGGGUCAUGAUGGGACCAGACUAUUACCAUCUGCUUUCCCGUGAGGUAUUUGAAUUUCCCUACCCCCCAGUAGGUGCACAACAGCACCUUUUCACACCAUCCAUACUUCAGUUCCACAGCACUCAAAAGUUGAGAGGCAAAGGCCACACGUCGGUCCUUUGCUCCAUACUCCGUGUUAACGCAUGUACCCUUUAAACUAUCCCAGUAGAACUAAAGUGAUACAACCCACCUAAUGGGGAUGCAGUAAUAGUGGUUUAAAGGUGCUUAUUCCUGUCAUUAUAACUAUUUCUAUACAGGAAGGGGAAUAAGCUACACUGAUUGGUAGACAGAUGGCUGAGAUUCUCAAAGGGGGCUGUUAUUUGCCCAGCUCUCAUUG
Molecule: long non-coding RNA, 860 nt
Organism: Mauremys reevesii (Reeves's turtle)
Lineage: Eukaryota; Metazoa; Chordata; Testudines; Geoemydidae
Exons: 4
Source: RefSeq, a predicted model, not a curated record